RNAcentral lists this ribosomal RNA (406 nucleotides) under uncultured bacterium. RNAcentral's name for it is "partial 16S ribosomal RNA". It matches the Rfam family "Bacterial small subunit ribosomal RNA", at positions 30 to 526 of the family's 1533-position model. The record is from RNAcentral.
AUUGAACGCUGGCGGCAGGCCUAACACAUGCAAGUCGAACGAGUGGCGGACGGGUGAGUAAUGUAUGGGAAACUGCCUGAUGGAGGGGGAUAACUACUGGAAAAGGGAGCUAAUACCGAAUACAAUCGGAGCUGCACAGAGUGGAGUAGCUAGUUGGUGGGGUACAGGCUCACCUACGCGACGAUCCAUAGCUGGUCUGAGAGGAUGACCAGCCACACUGGAACUGAGACACGGUCCCGACUCCUACGGUAGGCAUCAGUGGGGAAUAUUGCACCAUGGGCGCAAGCCUGAUGCAGCCAUGCCGCGUGUAUGAAGAAGGCCUUCGGGUUGUAAAGUACUUUCAGCGGUGAGGCGUUACCCGCAGAAGAAGCACCGGCUAACUCCGUGCCAGCCGCCGCGGUAAUUC